Molecule: RNA transcript, 5076 nt
Organism: Belonocnema kinseyi
Lineage: Eukaryota; Metazoa; Arthropoda; Insecta; Hymenoptera; Cynipidae
Exons: 9
Source: RefSeq, a predicted model, not a curated record
GGUCUGGUUCUUGAGGGACUCCCAUUAUCACAACACGAUAAUAUGAAUAAAAAUGUCUUCUAAAAUCAAAAGCUUCUAAAUUGCAGGAUUUUGCAUUAAAUGAGUGAGUAUUAAGAUCAGCUUUUAGAAUCUCUCCAAGGAGUCGCAAAGAAUGCAUGGCCAGACUAAGAAUUCAACGAGCGGGUAACAAUGGAGAGUAGAUUGACAAGACUUGAUGAUAUUGAUGGUGAAGUGUCAAUAAUCACAAACCAACCGACGUCCAAACCGACUGCUUACAAAGUAAAUUGUGAAAAUGCUGCAAACAAUAAAAAUGUGUCAAAACACAACGGCACCAAGCCUAGCACAACCGAGGAUGAAAUUUUUCAUUGGCUUGAUGAAUUUUCAUCUGUUAUGUGUUCAGUCGCUGGAAAUACAAAUUACGAGCUACUUGAGUACCUUCUUACCUCCUACCAAAAGAAUAUAUCCAGGGUUUUUUACAGCUGUUGUUUUCUCAAGCCGUUCAGAUUUGUUAAGUUGAAGAAUCACAUCAAGAACACUCUAAUCUUCUUUUAUUUCUGCUGGCGAAACGUGAAAGAGAGAAUCAGUGAUGAUUAUACGUACCUGGACAAAAUGACGGAAAUUGUUAGAAUGUAUCUAGAUUUAGAGGUUCUAUCUUCCUCGAAGGACAAUGAUUCCUUUGAUAACCUUUCUGCUAAUAUACUCCACGCUAUCCACAUAUAUUUAGAUAACUCGGAAGAACACGUAUUCAAAGUUCUACUUAAAAGUAAAUGCGUGACGAAAACGUUUAGCAGAAUUUACAGUCCUAUAUUCCAAAAAUACUUUUCGAACCUAAAAAGUAACGCUGAGACCCUAUCAAACUUCGCAUACGUUCGUUAUUUACUAGCGUUUAAGUUAUGGAAGAAGAUUGUCAGCAGUCGGGAAGAGAAAACCAAAAUCACAGACAUGGCUUUAAUAAAAUUGGGUUCUUUGGUGCCAAAAAUGGAUCCGGAAUUAUCACAAUUUAUUCCAGAACCACCUGCAGGUGAACAAAGCGGGACUUUGUGGCUUAUGCAGUCUAAUAUCCUCGACUUCCGAAAAAUUUGUGAUGGUUUCCUUACGCUGGAAGCCAAGAUGCAUUCUUCCUCUUUCAGCACAGAAUUCGAGGAGCUAAAUCUUAAAGGAUCUAACGCUUUCUUGCAGCUGGAUCUAGAUGACGGUUUUAAACAAAAAGCGGAUACCAAGCUCGUGCAAACUCGAAAAAACAAACCUGUACCAAAAAGAGUGUUUCCAAAAUUAAAGCCAGGCGAAGUGCUAUCCAUUGAUUUAACCAUCGAUAACGAGGUAGAAGAAGAGAUCAACAUCAAUAAACGGAAAAUAAAAGAGAAACAACAGUGGUUGAAAGAAGCCAAAGUUCACCGAAAAUUUAAGAAACCUCAACCUUUUCCCAAACGAACUAAAUUGGUUCAACUUGCAGACGCCCAUAGCACCGAAAGCUGUGAGAAUUUGGAAAAGACUCGUUCAGAAAACGCUUCAAUUUCUUCUAAGACUGUCUACGGUCUCGACAAGUACUCGGUUUGUAGUCCUGUUGAGGAAAAUAUCGUUUCCUCGCAAACAGCCGAGAAUAAAGCGAACGCUCUCAGGGAUCAGAAGACCUCAGCCGUUGCAAGUUUGAAGAAUAUGUGCCAAAAGUGUUGUGAUAUUACCUCAAACUCUGCUACUCAAAAGUCGAAUACUAACAAGAAUAGCGCUGAUUUUGUGCACAGUAGUACAACAUAUGUAACUUCAGUCUGUGAUAAACUUAGAACUAGUGUAUUGCAUAAUAAAUCCAGAGAUAUAUUUAAUUACACGACCGAGGGUAUUUCUUCACGAAGUGGAAAAUUGUUACCAACCGACUGGGAUAAUAGAUUUGAUAGGACGGAAAUCUGCGCAGUAUCCACAACAGUUGGAGAUCACGCAUCUGAAUCAUCGUCUGGGGCCUGGACAGAUUACAAUAGUGCGGAUUCUGAAGCCCCCGACGCAAUUGCUUCGCCUACGUCAGAAAUUUUCAUUAAUUCGUGCAAGAUUCAGUGUGAGGAAGUCGGUGAAGAAACAGAGCUCGGUGGAUUCUCGACUACAGCUUCUGAUCCUCUGACACCUGAAAAAACGAUUGAUGUCUGCCUCUCUGAAACUGUGGCUAGAACGACACCCACCAAAUUGGAUAUUUGGAGCGCAGAAAUGAAUACGCUGGGAUUCCACAAAUUUUCGGAAGAUUUAGCUUCUUAUUUGGAUCAGCAGAUCCCGUCAGAUUCGUUAUUGGAAGGCAGCUUAGGCCCCACAGGAAUUCUGAAUUCAUUGUUGGAUUUUGAUCUAAUAGGACGUGUAGAUUCUUCUCAGACUGAUUUUGUCUACUCAAAUGUCCAAGCCAUUGACCCAAACCUUUUGAGAAAAGAUCCAGAAGAAUUUGAUUUUAAAAUUUCGAAUUUGUUUUCCGAUGAUUCGCCGCCGAGUUUUGAAAGUGAGGAAGGAAUGGAGAUGAUGAAUGAGUCUGAAAAAUCGGGUGAUAGUCCGGAGAUGGUGGAAUCUGAAAUGAAAGUUCGCGAGGAGCUUUCUGAAGCAAUUGAGACACCAGAUGGCAGGGAAGAGCAAAUAAAGGAGGAAGUUUCAAGCACAUCACGGAAGAUCUUGGAGGCUCGAGUGUACAAUACAAGGCAUAAAAGGAAGUCUGCAGUUUGGAGAAACUUGAUGGAAACGAAAGAUCCAAAGAGAAGGAAGAGAUCGCGAAGAUUUUCGAGUUUAUCGUCCGACACUGAAGAUAUUUUAAGGAGGGAGAAACGAGUUCAGUUGCCUUUUAAGAAGAGGUGUUGUCACACGUAUCAGAGGGAAAUUAUUGAGAAGAAAAAUGUAGGUGUAAUCAAGAAAGGUAAAUUCUUCGCGUUAAAUUUGUUGGUGAAAGUUUUCAUUUUACAUUAUACUUUUUUUCCCUUCUGUUUUUCACGAGCAGUUUCGUAUUUAUUCAAAAUUAACGUUUUGGUCUUUUUAUACUGAAAGAAAUAAUGUGCUAAAAUAUUUUUGAAUUUUGAUAUCAACUAUGAUUUGUACGAUUUUAAUACAACACUGAAGAUCAACAACUGAAGAGAAAGCAUCAUGGAAGAUUUCAAUCGUCGAUUCUAUAAAGGAUUGCACAGAAACACACGUCUGUGAUGAUAAAAAGUCUUUAUUUCUUUUUUGAAACAUUUGAACAAAAUAACCAAAGCAUCUCUGAUCAAUUUUGAAUAGAAAUUCGAUUAUUUUGUACAUUUUUAUUUUAUAUAGUGCAUAUUUGAAGAUGAUAAAGUAUACCCAGUGUAACGAUUCAGGUGUUUGAUUUCUGCUCAUCCCUAAAGGGUCGAUAUUACAGUUGCAGUCAAGUACAUCAAAUUGACCACUUACCUGCUUGCGAAGAAUUUUGCAUCUAAUCAACAUCUCGUCAGGUUUGAUUUAAUUUCUUUAAAAAAUUUUACCUCCGAUUUGGUAUCGUCAAACUUAUUAUGAAAUAUUUGAUUCCAGUACGAGUAUCUUUAAUUUAACAGGGUGAAAAAUUACAUUGUUCUUUUUAAAGAAUUUUAUACAAUUUUCUACUUCCAGAUAAUCAGUAUAUAAAACAGUGAAGUUAUGUCUCUUUUUACUCUAAAGGAUAUUCGAAUUCGAAGCUAAAAUAUUUUAAAUUUGUUAACAAUGUUCACGCUUUAUAAUUCGUAUUCGCUUCAAAGGGUUCAUCAGGCCAAAUAAAAAUUAUAACUCCAGUCGUAAUCGAAGCAUCAAACGAUCGAUGGCUACAAGAGUUUGUAACUAGAGCAUUAACAAAGCAAUUUGACACACGUAUACGAGAUUUCGCGCUUCAGUAGUGACAUAUAAUUUUACCAGGCUUAAUUUUUAAUUCAAACAAACGCUUAAGAUUACUAUAAAAUAUAAAUAUAAAAUUAUACAUUUACGUUGCGCGUAAUCAUAAUUGAACUAUUAUUAAGAUCGUUACAUACUCUGUGUAAUUUUAUUUUAGACUUUCUUUAAUAUUACGUUUUGAAAACGCUUGCCAUUCCUUUCGAAAAUCAAAGAUUGUGUGUGAGUUUAAGAGAUACAUUCUUUUUUAAUUUUGAGUACCUUAUACUUAGUGACCUUUUUAUUAUAUUUGAUAGUGAGAUAAUGAUCCACUUUAAGAAUCUUCCAUGACUAUAUAAUUAUAGCCACUAUAUUGUAAUAGAAACAUCAGUGUACCUCAUUCCUACUCUAGUGACAUAUUUUUACUUAAUCUUCUAUCGAUUUAAAUUUAAUUGUAUAAGAAACUUAUACUUCCAUCAUGUUUAGCUCAUUUUGAUUAACGUUCAGUACACAGAAAAUUUAAAUUCGACUAAAAAAAGCAUUUUAACAGCUGUUUUUAAUGCAAAAUAUUUUCAAGUUUCAAUUGUUUUCAAGAUUCGAUACAUUUUUUAAAUAAUUAAAAAUAUAUAAACGUUAAUCAAAAUUAACUAAAGUAUCCGUAAAUCCGAAUUUUACGUAUAAAUUACGAAAAUAGAUUUUAUUUACUACGUCUAAGUUUAUACGCGAUAUAUUCAAACAAGUGUGACCUGUAGACUGUAGAGUUUAAGUGUACAAUUACCCAAGCUCACGAAGAGAUUAUUAGGAAUAAUAGGAACAUAAUUAUAUUUUAAAACAGAUUACCGAAAGCAUUGAUGCAGGAAAUAUGUAAAGUUAUGUAUAAUUCAGCUCUACUAUUGUCAUUUAUCGUAAGACGUAAUAAGCAGUUUUUUCUUCAAAUUACGUAUUUUUAAGAGUGAUUAAAGUAACUUUGUUGAUAUUUUAUAAAUGACCGAGGGGAUAUUCGUACGGCCGAUCUGACACAAUUUUUCAAAAAUUCUCGUUUGACUGACCGUACGAAUAAACACUUCGUUUAGAAGUACAGUGGAACCUCUUCCAUCGAAACCUUUAUUCGAUUAGUGACCCAAAACCUUUCAUUUUUAUAAAUUUAAUUGAAAAUUUCCCCUCCCCCUGAUAUUUACAAUGGAGACCGGAAAUUUUCAAUUUUAGUUUCGGUAAAUAAUUUUUGGAAUAUAAUCGGCUUUUUAUUUUUUAUUUAUUAAAAUG